Molecule: ribosomal RNA, 424 nt
Filed under: uncultured bacterium
Lineage: Bacteria
Description: bacterial SSU rRNA
Rfam family: Bacterial small subunit ribosomal RNA
Source: RNAcentral
AGAGUUUGAUCCUGGCUCAGAGCGAACGUUAGCGGCAGGCUUAACACAUGCAAGUCGAGCGACAAAGGGGCUUCGGCCCUGAGUAGAGCGGCGGACGGGUGCGUAACACGUGGAUAAUCUGCCUCGUGGCGGGGGAUAACAGUCCGAAAGGACUGCUAAUACCGCAUGUCAGGUCGGAAACCCCGGUUUCUGACGAAAAAGAGGGCGCCCGCAAGGGGCUCUCACCACGAGAUGAGUCCGCGGCCCAUCAGCUAGUUGGCGGUGUAAUAGACCACCAAGGCUAAGACGGGUAGCUGGUCUGAGAGGAUGACCAGCCACACUGGGACUGAGACACGGCCCAGACUCCUACGGGAGGCAGCAGUGGGGAAUAUUGGACAAGUGGGCGAAAGCCUGAUCCAGCCAUGCCGCGUGAGUGAUGAAGGUC